CAUACCUAGGGACAGAGGACCAGCGCUACACCCAGYUGACAGAAAGGGAAUCGUGGAGAGGGACCAAGUGACUGGACGAAGGUCACGCAAGGCCGCUGUCAGAGAAAGGAAUCGCGCCUGGGCCUCUUGCAGCAGCGCCUGAGCGUGGCCUCCCGGGCUCUGAGUGCUCCUCAGCAAAAAGGAUUUCACAGUUUAAAAAGGGCCUAUGUUAGGGCCUGCCAUGCCUCAGAAGCCAGCAAGAACAGCAGCUCAGCAGAAGACACCUUUUAAUAUUUUUCCUUCCCGGGCAUCUUUGCAGCUUGCUCAGGAAAGACACACCAUCAUCAGAUAUGGACAGGUGGGCAGGUCAGAGCGUGAUGGUCAGUGGCUCUGUUGUGAUCUAUAAGUGACUUAGAGGGAGGUGACAGAGGCCAUCUCCCUGCCCCGCAGGACAGUGGCAGAGUGGCAUGUCCAGAGCACAUACACCAGCAGAGCAACGACUCAGAAACUUUAAAGCCAUGACCCUGGAGAGUACUUCAGGCUGCCGAGAUUGAAAAGAUUUAAACAAGAUCCAUGUACCAAGGCCAACGCUUAAAGACACAUUUCGAUAAAUUCUUCUAGAAAAAAACAAACUGAACGUCAACCAGAAGCACUGAAGAUAAUCUUGCUUCAAACGUUGUUAGAAGAAAGUGUCUUUGGCCAAAAUUUCUCUCACUGCUUUUCCCCACUCCAAUAAACCUGGCUGCUGUCUCCGUCUGGGAGAUGACUUCAUUUCACCAGUUUUCUAAGACAUGGCUCUCUGCCUCAAAAGCAAUUGUUUAUGCUGCAGUCGAAAGAUGUUUAUCAUCAUAGUUGCCUUUUUUCCACUGCAGAGUAGUUAAUCGAUACUUCUGACGUAGGAUAGUCAGUUCUCAUUACACUGGGCUCUCACAAAGUCCUGUUUUCUUCACAGAGGAGAUGUGGAAUUUCCAGCAGAUACUUUGGGCUCCAGCUGGGGCUUGUGCGUCACACGUUCUCCUGUGGUGCGGUCGUCYGGGGCUGCGAAGCGCGGAGGAAGCACGGCAAACCUCGCAUUGCGAGAGGCAGCCGGAGUUGCCGAACUCUUUGCUGCAGGAGAUGAAACUUGACUUCUGGGUGAGAAGGUUGCCAGCGUCAGAGGCCAUUGUCGGAUGUUGUUGGUGUUACGCACGACCCAACGGGAAAGCUGGCUUGGCCCGGAAGGCUUUCCRGUGCUCCUGGCCUCAGUUGCCUUUAGACAGUCCUCAAGUCUAGAUGGGCAGGAAGAAGGUAAGCGAGACCCAGCCGUGGCCCUUGCAGCUGACUGAAAUGCACUUCAGCUCUGCAAGACYCCACAAACCAUCUUCACCAAAUGCAACAAGCUCCAAGAAAUGACUCCACGUUAGCRUUUGGGGGGCAGGGAGAAUACGUAUUAACACCUCCGCUUAGACAUUAAAGGAGAAUAMUAAAAUAGUCUGUUACUGCUAGAUAAGUAGAGACCGUACCUCAGAGAGUCACUUUGGAUCUCCAGCCACAGUAAUAUAUUGUUACGAAUCUCCAUCAGGGCACUUGUCGUGCAGCUAGAGAGUAUGUCUGACAUUGCCUCCAGUGACCUUUUCAAUAUAGUCCAAGUGCUGCAGAGCUGGUGUUUCAAGAGGAAUUCAAAUCGAAUUUACUCAGGCAGAAAGGCUUGGCCCCAGGAUAGCCCUACCACUCUCCUCGCAUUUCUCCGUGUCAUUCUCAUGUAAAUUGCAGUUCUUUAUGCAUGGUGGUUUUUCCCUGCACCACAGAAAAUGUGGCCGUUUAAACAACAACAACARCAGCCACCUCACUUACGGAGGAGGCCACCGUUCCCUGGAAAUCACUGCAUCGCAGGCAGCACCGCCGUUGUGGCGGUGGGAAGCGCCGGUGGCAGCAGCGGAGGGCGGAAGAUGAAGCUGCUAACUUUAGGACAGCCUAUCAAAAGGUCUUGAGCUGGUCCCAAAACUAGCUGGYGUGUAUCAAGCAGCCACCGUUGUGUUAAAGGAUGGAGCUCAUCGCCAUGGGAUGUUGUGAAUACCAGAGAUUUGUAUAAGCUCGAAAAGCACGUCRAGAAAUGCAUGAGAGAGAAAUUCAUUUAAGGCUAUGGAAGAGAAGGGGACAGCGAGGCAAGGGCAGCCGAGGAGGGAAGUCUCGCUGCUUGACACCAACGGCCCCGGUGGGAGAUCUGUGUCCUUCCAGGGGGUAAAGUGCAUGGRCACGUGGCUGGUUUUCUUCAUGUUCUUUCCUGGCACAGAAUGAUUAUGUCAUACGUGUUCGUAURAGAAGUGCUUUAAAAAGUAAUUUCUUUGAUUAAUUUGGUGUCUGUAUUUUCACUGUUUUGUUCACUCCAAUUUAUGACAAAAUUGAACAAAGUGGGUAACAAAAUAUAGCCCUGUCAGCCUCCUGUCUUCGCGGAUAUAAAGAAAAAUGCGAAACUGUCAGGCACACAAAUGUGCCAAACCCCAAGGAAAAUUAUUACAUUCUGCUUGACAUUUACUUUAAUUUUACAAAAUUCUGUAAUACCAUUAUAAAUAAUAAUAAUAAAAAGCGGCAUGGAAAUAUU
Long non-coding RNA from Dromaius novaehollandiae (emu), 2560 nucleotides. Lineage: Eukaryota; Metazoa; Chordata; Aves; Casuariiformes; Dromaiidae. The record is from Ensembl.